RNAcentral lists this ribosomal RNA (482 nucleotides) under uncultured bacterium. Its description in RNAcentral is "partial 16S ribosomal RNA". It matches the Rfam family "Bacterial small subunit ribosomal RNA", at positions 30 to 507 of the family's 1533-position model. The record is from RNAcentral.
AUUGAACGCUGGCGGCAUGCUUUACACAUGCAAGUCGAACGGUAACAGGCCGCAAGGUGCUGACGAGUGGCGAACGGGUGAGUAAUGCAUCGGAACGUGCCCAGUCGUGGGGGAUAACUACUCGAAAGAGUAGCUAAUACCGCAUAUGAUCUAUGGAUGAAAGCGGGGGACCGUAAGGCCUCGCGCGAUUGGAGCGGCCGAUGUCAGAUUAGGUAGUUGGUGGGGUAAAGGCUCACCAAGCCAACGAUCUGUAGCUGGUCUGAGAGGACGACCAGCCACACUGGGACGGAGACACGGCCCAGACUCCUACGGGAGGCAGCAGUGGGGAAUUUUGGACAAUGGGCGCAAGCCUGAUCCAGCAAUGCCGCGUGCAGGAAGAAGGCCUUCGGGUUGUAAACUGCUUUUGUACGGAACGAAACGGCUCUGGUUAAUACCCGGGGCUAAUGACGGUACCGUAAGAAUAAGCACCGGCUAACUACGUG